RNAcentral lists this long non-coding RNA (1354 nucleotides) under Vigna radiata. RNAcentral describes it as "long non-coding RNA (VRAD_LNC001439)". The record is from RNAcentral. Lineage: Eukaryota; Viridiplantae; Streptophyta; Magnoliopsida; Fabales; Fabaceae.
GCCAUCAUACAGUAAAUUGGGCCGCACGGUUUCAUUUGAAAAUUAAAUUGGGCUUGCUGCAUGGAAGAAGGGAGUUACUUCCUGUACCUCCCCAAUUCCAACCCCCACUCCCCAUUCCAUUUUUGCCCUUUGCUCUAUUUUUUCUAUUCCAAUUUUAUCCUUUAACAAAAAUUUAUAUUUAGAAAUAAAAUUUUAUAAUUUUAUUCUCCCACCCCCACAAAACCUAUUUAUUCUUUUUUUUUUUAUCUUCAUGCUUUCAUCUUUACGCUCUCUUCCCAGGAAUUCUUUGUUCUAUUUUUCCAGAAAUUCUUUUUCCCAUUCUUCUUGUAUUCCAAGUGAUAAUUGAGAUAUCGAUUUCUUCUGGAAGAAUUUGUCCUUCAAUUAUUAUAUCUCUUCAUUACAUUAGUGUGGUGGUGUUGUAUCCAACCUUUAAGCAGCGAUCCUCUUCGAGUCCAGGUUAGUAAAACCGUUAAAACGGAAGGCGACUUCCGUUUACCCUUAAACGGAUGUUGACAUCCGUUGACAGAUUCCCACAUCCGUUUAAGGGUUUUCUAGAUUAUUUUAGAUUAUGUUUUUGUUAGUUUUAUUUUUUAAGAUUUAUUUUUAUUAGUUUUAAUUUUUAAGAUUUGUUUUUAUUAGUUUCAUUUUUUAGGAUUUGUUUUUAUUGGUUUUAUUUCUUUAAGAUUUAUAUUUUAAUAUUUGUUUUUAUUAGUUUUAUUUUUUAGGAUUUGUUUUUAUUAGAUUUUUAUUUUAUUAGUUUUAUUUUUUAAGAUUUGUUUUUAUUAGUUUNAGUUUAUUUUUUAGGAUUUGUUUUUAUUAGUUUUAUUUUUUUAAGAUUUAUAUUUUAAGAUUUGUUUUUAUUAGUUUUAUUUUUUAGGAUUUGUUUUUAUUAGAUUUUUAUUUGAUUAGUUUUAUUUUUUAAGAUUUGUUUUUAUUAGUUUACUUUUUAUAUUAAUUUUUAGAUAUUUUAAUAAUGAAAUUUAUAUGUUUUGAUGUAUUAUUUUUAAAUAUAUUUUUAACGUAUAAAUGGGAGAGUGAGAGUUGCAGAGAGCGUCGAGUGUUUCAAAAGCUUUGGUGGGGGUGGGGGUGGGAAUAGGAAGGAGAGGAAUCUGAGUCUGUGUGUUUUGACUGAGGAAUUGUAAAAGAGUAGGUUAACUUUAGUAAAUAGGGGUAAAACGGUAAAAAUAAAAAAACAUAAAGGUUAAUUUUGUAUUUAAAAAAAAUCCAAAAAAAUUGGGGGGUGGGAGUUAGAAUUGGGGAGGUACAGGGAGUAACUCCCAUGGAAGAAUGGGUGCUGACAUAAAAAAAUGAAAAAGAGAUUUCUUUUUUUCCGCAACCCCAUAGUUAAAAGACC